This is a non-coding RNA of Pelobates cultripes (western spadefoot toad), 300 nucleotides long. The record is from the annotation of a GenBank genome assembly. Lineage: Eukaryota; Metazoa; Chordata; Amphibia; Anura; Pelobatidae.
CUCAAAAGAGACCUGGCAGCUUCCCCUGCUCUCUGCCAGGUCUCCUGCUUCCUGUCCCACGCGGCUCUGUGUGAUAGGAGUGGCGGGGCUAAGAUGUGACAUCACUUCCUGUACUAUCGUCACACACAGAGCCUUCUCACAGCCAGCGAGGGGAAGGAGCAGCAGACUGGGAGACCAGAGAGAAAAGUAUUGUUAUGGACAAAAUACUUGAAUGGAUAAAAUGUCUAUUUUACUCUGUGCAAUUGUGCUGAUUUCUAACCCGUCCCUCGCUUCCUUUGUUCAAGUAACGGUGUUCUAUCA